CUCACCUGGGGUUAAAAUACUGACCAAGCCAUCUGCCCAGAGGUGGCUUCUCAGGCUCCAGGCUGCUUCCUGCCCCGGAAGGGCCUCCAUGUCUCCUCGGUGACUGAGUACCACAGCUGGGGCAGGGGGAGCAGCGUGAGGACUAGAUUAUUCGGAAGGAGAAGCAAGCAUGGGAAAGCAGCAAGGAGGCGACUGCAGUGAUCCAGGCAAGAGGUGCGCGGAGCAAAGACUGUCCACUAGAGGAAUCCUGAAUUAGGUGGAAAUGGCUGACCUUACACCAUAGCUGGCUCAGUCAAGGGCCGGAACCAUCAACUCAAAAGCCAAGGUUCAAGAGAAUGAGAAGACAAACCACAGAUGAGAAAACACUUGCAAAAUACAGAUUUCAGGAAGGACUGGCAUCCAAAAUAUACAAAGAACUCUUAAAACUCAAUAAUAAGUUGAUUUAUAAAAAAUGGGCCAAAGACCUAAACAGACACCUCACUAAAGAAAAUAUACAGUUGGCAAAUAAGCAUAUGAAGAGAUACUUCACAUCAUAUGUCAUUGGGGUACUUCAAGUUCAAACAACAAUGGAAUGGCCCAAAUCCAGAACGCUGACAACACCAAACGCUGGUGAGAAUGUGGAGCAACAGGAACUCUCAUUCAUUGUUGUUGGGAAUCAAAAUGGUACAGCCACUUUGGUGUUUUUUUAAAUAAAACUAAACAUACUCUUCCCACACGAUUUAGCCAUCACACUCCUUAGUAUUUACCCAAGGGAGCUGAAACUUAUGUUUACACAAAAACCUGUACACAGAUGCUUAUAGCAGCUUUAUUCAUAGCCAAAUCUUGGAAGAAACCAAGAUGUCUUUCAAUAGGUGAAUGGGUAAAUAAACUGUCGUACAUCCAGACAAUGGAAUAUCAUUCAGCACUAAAAAAAGAAAUGAGCUUUCAAGCCCUGAAAAGACCCGGAGGAAUCUUUUUUUUUUUUUUUUUUAAAGGUAGGAUUUCUUACAUUCACCUUUUCUUAAAAAAAAUAGAUUUAUUUAUUUAAUUUUUGGCCGCGUUGGGUCUUCGUUGCCGCGCGCAGGCUUUUCUCUAGCUGUGGUGAGUGGGGGCUACUCUUCGUUGUGGUACGCGGGCUUCUUAUUGCAGUGGCUUCUCUUGUUGCAGAGCACGGGCUCUAGGCGUGCGGGCUUUGGUAGUUGUGGCACGUGGGCUUCAGUAGUUGUGGCUCGCAUGCUCUAGAGUGCAGGCUCAGUAGUUGUGGCACACGGGCUUAGUGGCUUCGCGGCAUGUGGGGUCUUCCUGGACCAGGGCUCGAACCCGUGUCUCCUGCAUUGGCAGGCGGAUUCUCAACCACUGCGCCACCAGGGAAGCCCUGGAGGAAUCUUAAAUGCAUAUUACUAAGUGAAAGAAGCCAAUCUGAAAAGGCUACUGUAUGAUUUUAGCUCUAUGACAUUCUGGAAAAGGCAAAACUAUGGAGAUGAUAAAAAGAUCAAUGGUUGCCAAGGGUUAGUUGGAAGGGAGAGAGGAAUAGGCAGAGCACAGAGGAUUUUCAGAGCAGUGAACCUCUUCUGUGUGAUACUACAGUGGUGCGUAUUUGUCCAAAUACAUAGAAUGUACAACAUAAGAGUGAACCCUAGUGUGAACUAUGGACUUUGGGUGAUAAUGAUGUAUCAGUGUAGGUUCAUUGAUUGUAACAAGUGUACCAUUCUGGUGGGGAUGUUGAUGGUUGGGAGGAGGCUGUGUGUGAGUGGGCACAGGAGCACAUAAGAACCCUGUGUACUUUCUGCUCAAUUUUGCUGUGAACCUAUAAAUGCUCUUUAAAAAAAAAGUCUGUUAAAAAAGAAAGGAAGUAAGGAAGAAGGAAAGAAAAAACAAAUCCUCAGACUUUUUCCCUGGGCUGCUCCCUUCUCCUCUCUCCCCACCCUCAUCCUUUCCUUCUGCUGUGCAAGUGUUUUCUGACUUCCUCACAGGAGGACAUGUUUGCUAGGCAUGUCUGUCUGUCUGUCCUUCUCUUUUACGUUUUGGCUUGAGCCUUUGUUACAGAAUUUCCCACUCAGGGGCCAGGCUGAGCUGGAGAUUUUUCAUCUCUGCAGUUCCUCUGCCAACCUUGCAGGCCCCCAUUCCAGCUUCCUCCCAACCCAACGAAUUUCUAGAAAGAAUUCACCAACAAAUGACAGCUGUGAUCCGCUCUGUAAGCCCUGUCCUGGUGUAAAUAUGUCCCCUGACACCCAGCACAGGAGAAGAAAAUUCAAGAGUGGAGAGAGAAGAAAAUCCUGGAUGUCUCAUUAGCAGCACCUCCUACCAAGCUUAAUCUCACCUCCUACCAAGCUUAAUCUCACCUCCUUUGGUGUCAGAGAGAAGCAAGAGAAAGACGUCUUCCCUCUCUGUCUCCAGGGAUGGACUUGAGGGGAGUCCACAGACUGUGUGCUGCAUUUCCAUUUCCCAGGCUGUGAUUAAAACUUCCAGAGGCACCAAGUUUCGAGAAGAUUAGGCCAUCUCCACCUCCCUGAGCAGUACAAAAUAAAUCAAUACUAAGCCACAAAAUAAGUGUGAGGAAGCCCUUUAACGUUUUCAAUUCUCCUAUGAUGACUAUUUUGAAGUUUUGUAUUUUUUGAAAUAUAAAAUGCAA
Long non-coding RNA from Physeter macrocephalus (sperm whale), 2611 nucleotides. RefSeq lists it as uncharacterized. The record is from RefSeq and is a predicted model, not a curated record. The transcript is spliced from 3 exons. Lineage: Eukaryota; Metazoa; Chordata; Mammalia; Artiodactyla; Physeteridae.